Molecule: small RNA, 634 nt
Filed under: Histoplasma capsulatum G186AR
Lineage: Eukaryota; Fungi; Ascomycota; Eurotiomycetes; Onygenales; Ajellomycetaceae
Description: hypothetical RNA
Source: RNAcentral
GCAGUGGUAGGUAGGUUGGCAGCGGUAGGUAGGUUGGCAGCGGUAGGUAGGUUGGCAGUGAUAGAUUAGCAGUGAUAGAUAGAUUAGCAGCAAUAGAUUAGCAGCGAUAGAUUAGCAGCAAUAGAUUAGCAGCAAUAGAUUAGCAGUGAUAGAUUAGCAGUGGUAGGUAGGUUGGCAGCGGUAGGUAGAUUGGCAGUGGUAGAUAGAUUGGCAGCGGUAGGUAGGUUGGCAGCAAUAGAUUAGCAGUGAUAGAUAGAUUAGCAGCAAUAGAUUAGCAGCGAUAGAUUAGCAGCGAUAGAUUAGCAGUGGUAGAUAGAUUGGCAGUGAUAGGUAGGUUGGCAGCGGUAGAUAGAUUGGCAGCAGCGAUAGAUUAGCAGUGAUAGAUUAGCAGUGGUAGGUAGGUUGGCAGCGGUAGGUAGGUUGGCAGCGGUAGGUAGGUUGGCAGCGAUAGAUUAGCAGUGAUAGAUUAGCAGUGGUAGGUAGGUUGGCAGCGGUAGGUAGAUUGGCAGUGGUAGAUAGGUUGGCAGCGGUAGGUAGGUUGGCAGCAAUAGAUUAGCAGUGAUAGAUAGAUUAGCAGCAAUAGAUUAGCAGCGAUAGAUUAGCAGUGAUAGAUUAGCAGUGGUAGGUAGGUUGG